CUUACUGUCAUGUGUUUGACAUCAAACACGCUUUUAAUCUGAAGUGUUAGUAAUUCGUAGUUAGAGAUAUCUGCUCAUACUUUGUUUUGAUUAUUGUUAGAGUUCGAUGGUUACUGCAUUGGAAGUACUUAGGUUUUAUGUCCCACAUUGGUUAGAUGAAAUAACAAGUACUUAGGUUUUUGAUAUAAAACAAGAGUUCAUUCUCUACGCAAAUCAUACCUUUCUCGGCCUUUUGGCUAAGAUCAAGUGUAGUAUCUGUUCUUAUCAGUUUAAUAUCUGAUAUGUGGACCAAUGGUUCACACGAUAUUAAAUUUAUUUUUUGAGGGGGAGAGUCCGCCACAAUAGCUUGCUAUUGGGUCUCUCAAGUGUCGCUUUUGUGUUGCACUAUUGCAAUUGCCUGGCACACCCCACCAAAGAAGUCUUAAGUUUUUUUGCCUUCUUUUCAUGGUUAAGUACUUAUUUCAAAAGCUUAUGAUGAAAGUGGCCUACAGGAGCGAAAAAAUUUGACGACUGCCGGUGCUUUUGCUGACGAUAAGAAUAAGAUGAGAAACAAGAAAGAGGUGAAGAAAGAGAUGGGUAACCAGGUCAGUGAAAGUCAGUCAACGAUUCUGACACCAUCCGAUUAUUUGUUAAAACAUUUGGCGAAUGCGGAAAUUAUGGAAAUCGAUACCAAUUAUUGUAAAAUGGCCUCUACUGCUGCCCUGCGCCGUAAAAAUAUAAUUUUAGGAAAAGAUGCAUUUCGAAAGGCAAUUAAUAAUUUGAGUAGAGCGGGACGACAAGAUUGUACAGGAGGGAUGCUUUUUUUUUUCCCUCAAAGGUGUUUGACGGUGAUGCACCUUGUUCCGGAGGCUGCUUGUUCCAAAAACAUGUUAGAUUUUAUAUUAAGAAAUUAUAUUCAUGGCAAACGACCUGACUCUGAGUUGGUAAGCCAGCAGCAAAAUUGGGGUAACAUAUCUAAAGAGCUCAAUAAAGUAAUUGAAAAUCCUUUGGAUAUCACUCCAAGACAACAAAAUAUAUUAAGUGAAGGCUGGACUCUUAUCAUGGAACAGUGAUCAAGCUGGAUAUACAAGAAAUUGAUGAGGAUGUCGAAGUUUUACCUAGCCAUUAUUCAGUUGAAGGUAAUCUGAGAGGAGCAGAUAUACAUGUUGUUUGUAACAAUUCAAGUUUAUAGUAUAGAAGGCUCAGUACUUGAUAUGUCUUUCACCUUGUCUUGGGAAAUGUUGCAUAUUGAACUCAUCAUCGCCAAGCCAAUUGUUUCUCAAUCCUAAGAAUUGAAAAAGAUAUCAAGCUGAUUUCUACUGCAUCUGUCCCUCCAUUUCAAUAUCAGUAUCACGACAUCGGUUUUGUUUCGCUUAUGAAUGCUUGUCUCCCAAAGGGAACUACAAUAUCCAAUGAUGAUGAGUUGAAAAAUGUUGAAUGUAUGGCAUCUAUAUCUUCUGGAGGCUUUCAUGACUUUGUUUUGAUGCUGCUUUUUUUCUUUGUUUUUGGAAGUUUUUUAAGGUUGAUAUGUAUCUACUUUGAAUGCUAUAAAGGAGGGAGUGGAUUUUUUGUACAAAUUGGUGUUCUUAGUGUUGUGAAUACUUAUAAGUCACUUACAUAUUAUCCAAAUUGGUGUUCUUGGUGUUCUUAGUGUUGUGAAUACUUAGUGUUUUGAAUCAUGUACUAGGUAUAUGUUUGAGUUGGAAAUAUUGAUAUACUUUCAUGUCCCAAAAAAAUGAAGGGAUUUUUUUAUCCUUCUAUGUGAAAAUAACAAUUGAAUACUUGAACAA
Molecule: long non-coding RNA, 1769 nt
Organism: Trifolium pratense (red clover)
Lineage: Eukaryota; Viridiplantae; Streptophyta; Magnoliopsida; Fabales; Fabaceae
Exons: 2
Source: RefSeq, a predicted model, not a curated record